Molecule: ribosomal RNA, 547 nt
Filed under: Cladosporium sp. RR71
Lineage: Eukaryota; Fungi; Ascomycota; Dothideomycetes; Cladosporiales; Cladosporiaceae
Description: eukaryotic LSU rRNA
Rfam family: 5.8S ribosomal RNA (bases 185-338)
Source: RNAcentral
UAAGGGGUGACCUGCGGAGGGAUCAUUACAAGUGACCCCGGUCUAACCACCGGGAUGUUCAUAACCCUUUGUUGUCCGACUCUGUUGCCUCCGGGGCGACCCUGCCUUCGGGCGGGGGCUCCGGGUGGACACUUCAAACUCUUGCGUAACUUUGCAGUCUGAGUAAACUUAAUUAAUAAAUUAAAACUUUUAACAACGGAUCUCUUGGUUCUGGCAUCGAUGAAGAACGCAGCGAAAUGCGAUAAGUAAUGUGAAUUGCAGAAUUCAGUGAAUCAUCGAAUCUUUGAACGCACAUUGCGCCCCCUGGUAUUCCGGGGGGCAUGCCUGUUCGAGCGUCAUUUCACCACUCAAGCCUCGCUUGGUAUUGGGCAACGCGGUCCGCCGCGUGCCUCAAAUCGACCGGCUGGGUCUUCUGUCCCCUAAGCGUUGUGGAAACUAUUCGCUAAAGGGUGUUCGGGAGGCUACGCCGUAAAACAACCCCAUUUCUAAGGUUGACCUCGGAUCAGGUAGGGAUACCCGCUGAACUUAAGCAUAUCAUAAACCCGGA